RNAcentral lists this long non-coding RNA (634 nucleotides) under Homo sapiens (human). RNAcentral's name for it is "HSALNT0027910". The record is from RNAcentral. Lineage: Eukaryota; Metazoa; Chordata; Mammalia; Primates; Hominidae.
CAUGAACCAGCCCUGUGAGGCAGGAUGACUCAGGAAGACAGGAGCCCCGAGUGGAGAGUGAGAAACAGAGGACAAGUACAGCUACCAUGACACUAAUGAGUUGUAAAAAGGACACAAACGAGAAAUACUCAUUUGGACUGAAGGAAGCUGUGCUUGAGCGAAACCUUGACGUGAGAUUAAACUUGGCCAGAUGAAGAUGAAAGAGAAGAGAGAAAGAGCAUCGGGGCAGCAAGGGACCAAAGGUGUGGGAAGACUGGACAGGACCUGGGAAUAGCACCGGGAAACAGGACAGGAAAUUGAAAGGAAAGACAAAGAGAAAGAAAAGACGAAGAGUUUCAAGGUUAGUGAGAGCUGAGCAACACCCUUUCUGUCCACUCUAGCCAGACCUCGUUUUAUUGCACUUCAUUAAAUUUCACAGAUACUUCAUGCUUUACAAAUUGAAGGUUUGUGGCAGCUCUGCAUGGAGCAAGUCUAUGGACCCCAUUCUUCCAACAGCACGUGCUCACUUCAUGUCUUUGUGUCACAUUUUGGUAUUAUUGUAAAUAUUACCAAAAAAAAAUCUAACCCUAUUUCAAACAUUUCCAUUACUAUUAUAACUGUUAUGGUGAUUUGUGAUCAGGGAUUUUUUUUUUUU